RNAcentral lists this transfer RNA (87 nucleotides) under Bacillota bacterium. RNAcentral describes it as "Firmicutes bacterium (gut metagenome) tRNA-Leu". It matches the Rfam family "tRNA". From Rfam's summary of the family: Transfer RNA (tRNA) molecules are approximately 80 nucleotides in length. Their secondary structure includes four short double-helical elements and three loops (D, anti-codon, and T loops). The record is from RNAcentral. Lineage: Bacteria; Bacillati; Bacillota.
GCUGGUAUGGCGGAAUUGGCAGACGCAAGGGACUUAAAAUCCCUCGAUGGCAACAUCAUAUCGGUUCGAUCCCGAUUACCAGCACCA